AUUGAACGCUGGCGGCAGGCCUAACACAUGCAAGUCGAACGAGUGGCGGACGGGUGAGUACUGUCUGGGAAACUGCCCGAUGGAGGGGGAUAACUACUGGAAACGGUAGCUAAUACCGCAUACCAUCGGAUGUGCCCAGAUGGGCUUAGCUAGUAGGUGGGGUAACGGCUCACCUAGGCGACGAUCCCUAGCUGGUCUGAGAGGAUGACCAUCCACACUGGAACGGAGACGAGGUCCAGCCUCCGACGGGAGGCAGGAGUGGUGAAUAUUGCACAAGGGGCGGAAGCCUGAUGCAGCCAUGCCGCGUGUAUGAAGAAGGCCUUCGGGUUGUAGAGUACUUUCAGCGGGGAUGCGUUACUCGCAGAAGAAGCACCGGCUAACUCCGUGCCAGCAGCCGCGGUAAUUC
RNAcentral lists this ribosomal RNA (406 nucleotides) under uncultured bacterium. RNAcentral's name for it is "partial 16S ribosomal RNA". It matches the Rfam family "Bacterial small subunit ribosomal RNA", at positions 30 to 526 of the family's 1533-position model. The record is from RNAcentral.